GUAAUGUCACCUGCACGGCUUCCGCGUGCCUCGGACUUAGCAGCAGAGGUUGCUCGGGCACCACCUGCCUCUAUGGGGUGACCUACGGCGACGGAUCCUCCACCGUCGGAUUUCUCGCCACGGAUACUUUCAAGCUGACCUCCACCAGCGUGUUCAACAACUUCAUAUUUGGGUGCGGCCAGAGCAAUGGGGGACUCUUCCGGGGGGCCGCCGGGCUGAUCGGGCUCGGACGCAGCCCCUACUCGCUGAACUCGCAGGCGGCCAGCAGGCUGGGCAAUAUCUUCUCCUACUGUCUCCCUUCCACAAGCAGCUCCACCGGCUACCUCAACAUCGGCAAUCCGUUAAAAACUACAGUUGCUUACACGCCGCUGCUGACCGAUUCACGCGCGCCUACCCUCUACUUCAUUGACCUCAUUGGAAUUACCGUAGGGGGAACACCGCUUCAAUUGUCGCCGACCGUCUUUCAAUCCGUCGGGACAAUCAUCGACUCCGGGACUGUGAUCACCCGCCUACCCCCUACGGCGUACAGCGCACUUCGGACGGCCUUCCGCGCCGCCAUGACACGGUACCCAACGGCUCCGGCGGCUAGUAUACUAGACACUUGUUAUGACUUGCGUAACGCGGCGACCGUGACGUAUCCCCAGAUCAAGUUAUUAUACAGAGGUAUCGAGGUCACGCUUCCAUCGACCGGGGUGUUCUACGUCAUCAGCUCCGCACAGGUCUGCCUGGCGUUCGCCGGGAACUCGGACUCCACCCAGAUCGGCAUCAUUGGCAACGUUCAGCAGAGGUCGUUUGAGGUGACCCAUGACAAUGUUGCGAAAAGGAUCGGGUUCUCAGCCGGGGCUUGCAGCUGAUUCCCCGCGGAGCGCCUUGGUUGUUUCCGAAGUCUGGAAAAAAGAUCGGAUUGCUUUCUUUGAUGCACUGAAAUGGAUUGAAUCUGUGGCUUUUCUUGUGGAUAUUCUCUUUGUGAGCGGCGAUAUAUUUGAAUAAGUCUGUCAUAGCAUAUAUUCUGCGUCACCGAUGGCCACUCUUUCGAUAUCGUCUUGCAUUUGGUGCAAUUGAGUUGGGGCUGUUAGCCUCUUCGACAGGUAAGACAAACCCCCCUCGGUUGUGGAUGAGGGAUGCAGGGGGACGACCGGGGGGCAUGAUGUACCUUUAUAUGAACAGCUGAGAAAGGAAGGAGGGACGUGCGUUUGCUAGAGGAAGAAACCGCUAGUUCUUCGUGAAGUUGGUGAGGUUAUCAACUGAACAGAUCUUCGGUUGACCCCCAGGAUUUUUUCUGACCCACCCAACGUUAUUGAGUAUUCCUUGAAUUAUCAUUCAACUCGUCUAACAUUAAAAUGGGUUUAGCCUUUAGAUCAUCGCAAAAACAGCGGCUAAGCCGAUGAAGAGCGACCUUUGGAUCAAUCAGCAGACUGGUAGCUAAACUUCCCACUAUAACCGCUUGUAAGUUAUGUUUCCUUCUAAAUAAAACUUUUAAUCAGGAGUCAUUCGUAUUGUAAUAAAAAAUAAUAAAGAUGUUCACAAUGAAAUAGAUACUAAACAACGACCAUGCCACUGGGUUUAGCUUCAUGAACUGGGCUAAGGUCUGAUCCAUGGAGAGCUGUGAACAGCCCAAAACCAUCCUGAUCUAGCUGACCGGAAUGUAAAGGCUUUUUAAAGCUUCACGAAGAAUGCGACGCGUCAAGUUUUCUGGGACUUAUUGGAUCGGCAGGGCCGCUCGUAUGCAAGUGUCUUUCCCUACGUAAACGGUUCCCACCUUCCACCCCUGCACCUCCGGAAUCGAUUUGCCCAAAACUCUUCGUUGAAAAUUGGCAAGAUUGGCAUUCUAAUAGUUGACGGAUGCCAUUUGAUAGAAAUUUUCCUUAGACUUUCUGGAACUUCCAAGGCUAUUAGUCUUGGGGUACACCAUAAAGAUGACAUGAGCUAGACCUAGCAUAUUGACACGUAUUAUUGGAUUGUGAGAAAAGUAUGGGAAUGCAAAUUGAAGAAUUCGUCUCAUUUCAUUAUGUCAAACGUUCUAUGAUAUGAUUUAAAGUUUCUGUGUGAAAUUUUUUACUAAAUAAAGUUUAAUUAUCAAUAUGAUUUGAGCAGCUGUGGGUUUUUCUGAUCUGUAAAUGAUGUUAUAAAUGUAAUAGAAGGAAUUAUAUGCUACAUUUGAAAUACUAGGUCUUUUUUAAGGCCUUAUUUAUUUUUGAGCACUUUAUUAAAAUAUUUAUUAUAUAAUAGAAUAUGCUACGAGCAAGUCAUACAAUUCAGUUAUGUCGCUGCCAUGUACGUAGAUGUUAGACUUGAAAUGAAUUAGUUUCUAUGUCAAAAAUCUACAAACAUAGAAGCCUAAAGCUAAACUACAUUCAAUUCAAUGUGGAUCUAACCUGUGGUGCAUUGAGGUUUUAGGGCAGCAUUAAUCUAAUGCCUUGAUUAAAUAGUGGAAUAAGAAGCACAAGACACAAUAUUCUUUAGAAGAAUAAGGUUUGAAUGGCAUGGAUUGAAUUUUGGUGAAAAAAACUUAAAACACCUUAUAAUGGCUAUCGAAAGGAGAGGCUACGUUCCAGUACAAUUGAGAACACAAGAUAUCUAAGAAUAAAAGAAAAUUAACUCGUAACGGAGCCACAAAAGGGGGAGAUGCAAGAUCCCAAAUUUUUGCUAUUGGAGAGAAAGGGUUUACGUGUUCAUUCUUCUCUCCAACGAUCCCUCUUAUUUAAUAAUCUCUCGCACAAAGGGGGCUUCUCCGGACCCGUUUUUGAUAUAUGAAAUAAAACAAACGAGAAAGGGGAGACGUCCCAGAAAACUUCUCCCAGUUAAUUGACAAGGUCAACCUAACAGAUGUUAUGUACUUUUAUAUCAUUUCAUUUCAAAAAAAUUGCUGCAGGUCAAAUCACCAUUUGUUAGACUAAUGGCACAUUUAAAUGAGGGAAGUAAAGAGUUGAUAACAGUCAGUGAUGAUGCAUUGGAUUGCUGAUCAUUAUUAUUUUUUCUGGAGGGAGAGUUUGAAGUGUUAGCAUUACUACCAUAACUUCAUCACAAACUUUUAAGACUAGUUCGAAUUUAGAUAGAGUGACCGCGUUGAAAGUCAUUGUAACGUGGUACGCAAAUACGCUUAGUGAUUUCUCAUUUCACAUAUGUUAUGCUCUGUGGAAAAUCCAUGCAAUCAGAAUAACUAGACCAACCGAAUUGAUUAAUCCAGCCGUUCAACAGACACAAGGACGUCUUCCCAAGGAUGUUGGCCGUCGUUAAUGGACUAGAGAUAAUUAAUGCGUUUGUCUCAGACACCCGGUCACAAAAGAUAAAUAGUGGCUAUAGAACUUCGGUUUUUUCUCACUUUCUCUGAUGUUUUCUUCCUCAUCUUUAACUCGUUUUAGUUUCAGGACAUACGGAUGCGAGAUAAGUUUAACGAUUUUUCAUCAUCGUUUCACUAGACGAUAUUAGGGCUCUCUGAUUAUUUCUCUUCUCAUGAUGAGUGGGGUGUCAGGGUGCGGUUCGUCCGUUGUCCGUUGAAUCUACUCUGUGAACCCAACUGGAGGCAGGAAGGCAUGCUUUCGGAAUCUUCCUCUACGGAGCGGAGAUGCACGCAUCCAUUUUGGUUUAUACUUUCUUCUGUAUUAUACUGUAGCGUCUUUCAAUCUGAUUUAGUAAAUUUCUGAAGUUUUUUCUUCUAUCAGCCCGAUUAAAUGGUUUUUUUUCAUUUUUUUAUGUUUGUAGAUUCUUAUGAAAAGGAAUCUAGAACGUCCCAUGAACGGCGUAAAAUAUUAUCUCCUCUUCACUGUGUUGAUUCGUCUUGUAUUUUGGAUAUUCUCGUAGCUUAAUUGGUUCAUAGAUUCAUGCCAAGAGAGGGGAUCUAGACGUUAGGCGACUAACUGACCUCAUCGUGCGUUCGUACCUUUCCCGCAACAUUUUCUACAAAAGGCACAAAGCGUCUGGAGCCCUAACAGAUUUAUAGAAUCUCUCAUGUGCACCGGUGACAUCGGAAAUUCAAGGACUUAUUUACUUCAAGGGAUGUCUCGACCUACUGGCUUUGUAGGUUUGAAGAACUAGCCCGAAACUGCCAUGUCAUUUUCGCCCAUACAGCCAUGGAAUCGUCAUAUUUGCGAGAUCAUUCACGCCGGUACGUUGCUCUGGCCUUGGAAAGUUGUCUGCACGAAGCAGGCCUAUAAAAAGCGUGUCUCGACCCGGGGUCUACACUAAGCCAUACCACAGCAAUGGUGGCGUGUGAGACCCUGAUGUUCUCUUUUGGCACGCAGGCCCAUGGGGAGAGAAACUUAGCAGCCGUCAAAGUUAGGGGCCUGGCGCCGUCCGCCAGUUGAUCCCCUCAACCAGCUUCCGCCGGAGGCCGGUAGGAUUUAAAAAAAAACUGUCAUAUGCGUCGGCGACGCUGGAAAUUCAAGGACAUUUAAAAAAAUGUCUCGAUCCACUGCUUGCAAGUUUGAGGAAUUAGGCCAGAAACGGCCUUGUCGCUUUCACUACGUCCAUGCCGUCAAUAGGAAAUGGGUAAUUUUGGGGAUAAUUCACGCCGGUACGUUGUUUUGACCUCAGCAGGAAGAAAGCCUAUAAAGAUCGUUUUCUCCCCACAGGAUGGACCCACAACCAUACUACAGCAAUGACAGCGUGUGCAUCCCUCUUGUCCUCCGUCCUGUUCUGUCUGAUCCUGUUCUCCUUUGGCGGUCAAGCCGACGGGGAGAGCACCUUCCUCACCGUUGAGGUUACGAGCUUCGUACCCUCCGCCGAUUGCUCCCCGUCCAAAGGUUGUGAGUCUUUUUCGGCUGGUCUAAUCACACUGAUAAUCAUAUCGAAAGUUAUAACUAUGCAUAUUGAUCAAUACUAAUGAAUCAAAUAAUGAAAAGUCUCGGUACUAGUCUGACAUAUCGAUCUCUUGCAGUACCCAGCCACAGCUCCCUCCAAGUCGUCCAACGCAACGGUCCUUGCGCAACCAAGUCUGUCAGCGAACCCAGCCACCUUCAAGCUCUCGCUCUGGAUUCCCUGCGAGUUGCUUCAUUGCAGGAAAUAGCUUCCGGCGUCUCCCGUGGUAACGAUACAUUGCUCCUUGGAAGCCAGAUCUCCAUCCCCGCAUGGAGUGGCCUGUACCUAGGCACCGGCAAUUACGUCAUUACAGUAGGGUUUGGCACCCCAGCGAGGACCCAGACCGUCAUCUUCGAUACCGGCAGCAACGUAAACUGGAUCCAGUGCGAGCCUUGCGCUGUAAGCUGCUACCCGCAGCAAGAACCGUUGUUCGAUCCGGGACUCUCAUCAACCUACCGUACUGUCUCCUGUACGGCGCGCGAAUGCCUCAGACUAACCAGCAGUAGUUGCGCGGGCACCAGCUGCGUUUAUGGGAUGAAAUAUUUUGACGGAUCCGCCACCGUUGGAUACCUCGCCACGGAUACUUUCACACUGACGUCCACCAACGCGCUCAGCAACUUCAUAUUUGGGUGCGGCCAGAACAACACAGGGCUAUUUAAGGGGGCCACCGGUCUAAUCGGGCUUGGACGCAGCCCCUACUCGCUGAAUUCACAGGCGGCCAGCAGCCUGGGUAAUGUCUUCUCCUAUUGUCUCCCUUCCACAGGCGGCUCCACCGGCUAUCUCAACAUCGGCAAUCCGUUGGGAACUACCGUUUUUUACACGCCGAUGCUGACCAGUUCACGCGCUCCUACCCUCUACUUUAUUGAUCUCAUUGGAAUUGCCGUAGGGGGGACACAGCUUCCAUUGUCACCGACCGUCUUUCAAUCUGUAGGGACAAUCAUAGACUCCGGGACGGUGAUCACCCGCCUACCCCCUGCGGCGUACAGUGCACUUCGGGCGGCCUUCCGCGCCGCCAUGACGCGGUACCUCCUGGCUCCGGCGACUAGUAUACUGGACACCUGCUAUGACUUCCGUGACGUGGAGACCGUGACAUAUCCGGAGAUCAGGCUCCUGUACACCGGUCUCGAGGUCCCGCUUCCGGCGACAGGGGUGUUCUACGUCAUCAGCUCUGAACAGAUCUGCCUAGCGUUCGCCGGGAACUCGGAUUCCAUCCAGGUCGGCAUCGUUGGCAACGUUCAGCAAAGGACGUUCGAGUUGACCUACGACAAUAGUGCGGAAAGGAUCGGGUUCUCAGCUGGGGCAUGCAGCUGAUUUGCCGCGGAGCGUCAAGGGGGUCUUUGAAGUUCAAAAUAAGUUCCACAUCGUCUUAUAUCAUGCACUGAAGCUGCGUGAAUUUGCGUCUUUUUCUCAUAGUUGUGCUCUUUCUGUACGGGGUAUAUAUCUGACUAAGUUGGUUUUAGAACAUAUUAUGAGUCAUCGAUGACUGUACUAUCGAGUUCAUUCUUGAUUGAAUGACAUUUAUAUUAGCUGAGUGAACGUGGUAGACGAAAUAAAUUCUGGAAUGGAUUUUGCUGCCGGCAGGUAGAGCGCAAAAGCAGAGUUGGGGAACAGAAUGGAUGUGAUAUUUACGUCGCAGUGCCUGCUUAGCAUAAGAGACGGGCAAGCAACCAGAUAUCGGAAGAACGACAACCUUUAAAUCAGUGAGAUAACGCUUGAACGGUACAUUACUGUUCAACUGUAACGAUUCUCAAUCCCUUUUUCCAUGAACAUAGUUUACAUUUACAUUUAAUUUACGAUCCCGGUUGCUCUGUUCAGUGGCCCUCUCCAGUAGAUCUCGGCUGAAUAGAGGAUAUUUGGCUUUGCUUAUGGAACUAAAGUAAGGUUGAUCCAUGUGAAGAUUAAGCUUCGACAAGUUAUGCCCAAACCUACGGCUUAACAAAGGUACUAGGCCUUUCUGUCAUUGGGCCAAAACUUCCACUCUACUGUCGAGCGGUUUUCUGCCCACAACGGUCAUCCAGUCUGGGCCACAACGGACCGCGGUUCCUCCAGUUCACUUGAUACGAUACCCGAUCCGCCACUCCACUGUGAAUCAUUUCCUGAUCCGCCUCCCAUUGGCGCGGAUCCACUCCACGAUCCCGGAUCCGAAAGCUUCUGGUGUGACACUUUUCCAACGGAAUUAAUGGGCCGUGCUCUCCCAAGUGGGAGCCCCUCCCGCUUAGAAAAAUAGUUUUCACCUUCCAGCUGCCAUCUCUGUAUUUUAUAAUCGGCAGUGAUGAUCUAAGAAAAGAUUUCAGGUCUUUCGUCCCAUAAAAAAUUUUGAUUCUUAGGCUUGGAAGAUUAUCAGCCUUGGGAUGCAAAAAUAAACGUGCAUUUCCCCACUAGUUUGGCAUUUUUUUGGGAUGUUGUGUCAAAGGAAGAGAAGACUGUCCAUAGUCAACAACCGUAUUAUUUUUGUUUUAAAGAACUGUUAUUUUUAUUACACUUUCAGAUAUCUAAUAUAUAUAUAUAUAUUAGGUCUGAUUAUCUUCAUUAGCCAAUGAGGAUAUUUCACAAACAUUGUAGCCAUUUUGGUUAUCUUAAAAAAGUUGAAAUGAAAGUGUUAGAAAGACGAUGAAUGAUAGGUGUAGGCUACACCAAUCAUGAUCAAUUGAUCAUCAGAUCGAUGAUCAUGAUCAAUCGAUCACUGAUGAUGAUCAGUGUUAAUGGUCAUGAUCACAAUCACGAUACGAGUCCUUGAUCGAUCGUCGAUCAAUCGACAGAUUGUUAUCCUACAGUUAAGCUUCUUUUGGAUGAUGAUUUUCCAUCAUCCAAUGGCUAUGAUUCAACCUAGGGGAGAGAUUAAUUAUUAUAUUAUAUCAUAAUAUAAUAAAAUUAUACUAUAAUAUAUUAUAUUGUUAUACUAUAAUAACAAUCGACAAUCAUUGACUAUAUAUUAUAUCAUCGAUCACAAUAACCGACAAUCACGAUUAGGAAUUUUGGCUGAUCAGAUCGACGAUUGAUCAUGAUGAUCAACAAACUCUAAGCGAAUGGGGUGAGACAUGGGAAACUACUUGUUAGGUAGAGAACCUCGUCAAAUACUUUUAUUGUUAAUCCUAAUAGGAGACGACAAUGGAGGGACACUUUUAUUGGCAUUACUAUGUUUUCCAUCACACUUGAGACCUCAUUGCCCUCCACAAGUUCAAUAAAGAGAUCUAGUUGUAACCAAGUAUGGAAUCGAUACUCUAGCUAGAGAGGAAAGAGAAAUCAAGCACAAAGGAUCAAUGUACCUUGCCUAAGGGCUAAUGAUCUUUUAGAGUACCAUAUAAUAAUAAGAAUGAAAUAUGGCUGAACAUAUUUUUGCAUCGCAAGCUACAAUUAGAGAUAUAACUUUUAGUAUGAGCAAUAUGUUAAGCUUGCAGACAGUCCAAUCAAAUUUUGUCUCACGGAUUGACCUCAUGACUAAAAUCAGUUUAAAAUACUAAGGAAAACCUAAUUUAUUAGUCAAGUCAGUACCAAGUCUUGUUUAUAAUCAUGCGCUUUCAACUUAUGGUGUCCGCUUACUUUAGUUUACAAGGUAAAUGGGGAAUUAUGUUGUUGAAGGAUACACUGAUCUCUCCCUUGUGAAAAAGCCUCAAAAGGAGUUGAUCUUGGACAAGAUGAAAUGACUAGAGUAACCUUAAAGAAGCAACCUAGAACAACUCUCACAUUGAGUCUAUAAGUUUUCAAAGGAGAUGAAGAUACAACUAAGUGAUUGUCCUACAAGAAUUAAAAAAAAAAUCAACAUGAUUAAAAAAUUUCUGGGGAUUAGAAUGCUCUACUAAAAAAAAAUUGAUUACCAAAAUUAAGGGGUACUCAGCCAGCUAUGACAAUAAGUUGACCUAUCUAUGUAUCAUUCAAGAGCAAAUCUAAGGGCAAUGUACUAAAUAAAUAAAAUACUCAUUCUGAAAGAAAAAGGACACAAAGCUUAUCUCAAUGUCAAAGUAGGUGUUUUUUCUAAGGAGCAGAUGUUGAUGGUGAAUCCUUAUCUAUUGAUUGUUGACUAUGUUGACUAUUGACUAGACAAUGAUAAUUGACUAUCGAAUGGGUGACCCCUAAUUAACUGACUGUUGACCGACAGUGAUGGAACUGCUUUACAAUUUGGCCCUCAAAAUUUCUCUGAGUGACUUGGGUUUUUUGUAUCCAAGUGGUUCCAAUCUAGCAAAAUCUGGACUAGUUCAAAUUGGGUAGUAAUGCCAUGGUUCAUUGUAGGUUAAUGAUGCAUUCAAUUUUAACUUGAUAAUUAAAAUCAUAAAAUAUAAUUCUGAAAUAUGUUGUAAAUCUAUGUCAAAUCCUUGUGGAUGAUUUGAUUUAUUUUUAAUUCAAAUGUCAUCUUCUACGAAGGUAAAUGAUUUUUAGAAUAAUUAAAUGAAGAUUUUUAAGAUAAAAUAUUUUUUAAAGAAAUAAAAACGUAAGUACAAAAAAAAAGGAACUAAAUGAAAAUAGAAGCUAUGAUUUCACAUGAAUCUCUAGUAUCUCGCUCAAGUUGAUGAUGUCAUGUCAAACUUGCAGGGCUGAAGAUAUACAUGUGUGCUAGAGAGAUAGAUAGAUAGAUAGAUAGAUAGAUAGAUAGAUAGAUGGAUAGAUAGAUGGAUAGAUGGAUANNNNNNNNNNNNNNNNNNNNGAGAGAGAGAGAGGGAUAACAUAUAAAUGGAUGCUUGGUUUUAGCCUCCACUAUGAUCUAGAAAAGGGGAUUGAAUUGAUAUCUUUUUCUUUUCUAAUUAUAUAUUCUUAAAAUAGAGUCCAAUCUAUAUAACAAUAUAUUUUUUUAUUCACUUCCAAUACCUCCAUUCCUAGUGGUUUCGCAAACUCUCUAUGUCAACUCUUUAAGAACAUAUCUAUUCUUAGGUUUUGUUAUCACUUUAUGUCUAAGAAUAAAUUAUGAUUAAUUAGUUUCAUUCCAUAUAAUAUUCAGCCCAAGACUCUCUUCUAGAUUCAGAACUCUAAGAAGAAAAAUUAUUGUUGAAUAGAGAGAGCUCAUUUGAAAUUUUUCUCAAAAAUUUUAUUUUAAAUUCACAACUUUAGAAAGCUCAUACCAUUGUUUCACUAAUCUAGCUCAUACUUGAAGCAUUAAACUUUAAGAUUAAAUUUAUUCCACAAAAAAUGACAAAACACAUCAUCAUAGGUCUUCUCUAAAAGUAGAGGUUUAAUUAAAAAUAGCUCCAGAGUAAUAAUGAUCGUAUAAUUUUUGAAUGCCCUUUGAUUCCUUAGUAUAUGGUAGCAAUGCAUCAGCAAAAUUUAUUUUGAUUAAAAAUGUAUUCAAAGGUCCUUAAAGAUGCUGGAUAUUAAAUACUUGAACCUAUUUUAAGAAGGUAGACGAGUGUGCAUAGAUAUUCAUUCGAAGUGUUGGUAUUUAUAAAUAAAUCAUCUAUAGAAAACCACUCAUAUCUCUCAGAUCUUCAAUGUCUAUUUUUCUUGGAAAAGUUAUAAAUUAGAAUGGGAGGAAGUUCAAUAUGAUAUUACCUAUUACCCCACAUUGUUAAAACAUAACAUUUAUAUUCAUUUUUUGAUGGUUGAAAAUGAUUUGAUAAGAAUACGAAAAACAAAAUCUUGAACAAAUGACACAUGAUUUGUUCAUACAACGAAAUUUGAUAGACAAGCUGGUAUUAAUCUACUCAAAAUCUUUUUUAUCCUCAAGUAUGUCUCUAAACAAGAUACCUGUAUGUAAUGAUAGCUAUAGAUGUGUCUAUUUAUUGGAAGGUCUUUUAAAAUAGAAAAUAUGUAGUAAGUUAUGUAAAGAACUAUGUAAUUUUUUUUUGCAAUGAGAAUUUUCUUAAUGCAUGGUUUACAUGUUUGUGUGAAAUCUGAUGAGGUUACUUUCAGUUUGUGAUGGUUGUUUCAGGCAACCAAGAAAUAUCCCAAAACUCAUCCUUUAAGAAGGAAACUUUAGCCUGUGGUCUUCAGGCUUGUUAUCGUGUGUGUAAUCCUUUGGGGAAGUAGUGGACAUAGAGGAGAGGUAGCUGUUAAGCCUUGGAUAUAGCUAGGAGGGUAAAUCACUCUAAAAGUUCGUUACUUCACCUAUGUGUCUGGUGUUUGUUUCCAACCAUCCCAAUAGAUUCAUGUGCCUAAGUUAAAAUACUGCAUGUAGUUGAAGAGAUUAACUAAUGAACUGUAUUUCUAUUAUCCUCGCUGCAUAUCCAAACGUACUGUAAAAAUAGAAAAUUAAUUUUUCGUAACUAAAUUGGUAAUUCUUAAAUGUUUGAGCGAAAUAAAUUAGAGAUUAUAAUUAAGUAUAUGCUACAAAAAGUCUAUUUCCACUGAGGACAUAAACUCUCCUAUCGUUCUUUAAGAUUGACAAGGAAUGGCAUAGGUUGUUUGGUGUGUAGAGGAAGUUAAGUUGAUAGGUUGCCUCGCAUGGUGAGGCCAUUUAGUUGAUGGAGACGUGACAAGUGUUAUGAUAAUUUGUUUGACACACUUAGGCCAUUUAGUUGGUAAGGAAUUGAUUGCCUUAAAACAGUUCGGUUUCCAGUAUUAUGAUCACAAGAGUGGUUGGCAGCUUUGAAAGCUAUUCAAUUGUUCGUGAGUAUUUGGGUCUCACUUUUGUAGAAUUAGGGAAAGCUUUAUAAGUGAGAGCUAUUGGAAAAAGGAUUGAAACCUAGGAGUGGAAACCCUUCAAAAACUAUGUGCGUCUCUUAUCGAUUUGAUUCUUUUAGUAAAUAUGGACAUCCCAUAUUUACUAAACUACAGAAUAAGAGUACGAACACAAGGAUCGUAUAGUGGUUUGAACAGUGUUGGCACUUAACUCUGCGUACUCUAAUUCUGAUCCAUCUUUCAACGUGGAUUAACAAUAUCCUAUUGGCUUCUUAUUCUAGUAAAUUAGAAAACUAUAAUUUAAGGAUUAAAAUGAGCUAGACUAGCAAUCUCUACUUUCAAUGAAAGUGUCACGGUGCUAGACAAAACAACUACUGAUUAGUACGAACUUGAAUUAGAUUUCCAUAGCCCCGGUAAAACUUGACGUCAAGUUUGAAUGAUAUUUGUAUAUCAUUUCCAUGAAAAGUCAUCGUUGUUAAUAUACUUACACUAAAAUGUCUAUAAGAACUGUUUUAUCCAUGAAUAUAAUUUUUCAGCAUCAAAGCACAUUACCACAAAUCUCAACAGUUCACCAAUUGUUGGACACCUAUGAGUGCAUUUAUCAGUUCUUGCCUAACUAGUUCUCUGCUUAAGAAUGGUCCAGGUCAGAACCUAUUUUUCUAAAGUGUCUAUGAAGUUAGCUAGAAACUGAGGUGGAUGGUUUCAGCGUGCAUAGGCAAGAUUGGCCAACAAACACUGGGGUUAAUUCGACAUAAUAUUGUAAUAAAGCACAACUAAUGCGACGGCGACAGUCGAUACCGGGGGAAUUAUGUCGAGAGAGACGUAUGCCACGCGUCAACCGAGGGCUGCCGUACCAGGGGAGGAAGCAAUUGCGGAAUGGUCUUAUUAUCACGUCAACAUGCCCUGGCCGUGAAGGAAAUCUCCAUUUGCGAAGGAUUCGUGAGGGUCAGUGUUUUGGGGGGGGUCCUUGCACGUGUCCAAAUGGGAGCUAGUAAACGACGCGGCGUUGCUCUCGAAGGGAGCCUUAUAUGUCCGUCAUCUACUCAGACCUAUUGUAGCUACUUUUUCCAAACGAUGGGUAGCCGUGCCAGUCGGAACAGCUUGCUGCCGCCGAUCGGUCCUCCCAUUGGAAGGAUCGAAAGGUGAACCGAUUUGGAUUUGUCGUCCCCAAAGGAAGAGAGGUGAGUGAGAUGAAGAGGCUAAAACAUAAAUAACUUAUCAUGAAUUAUUAUGUAAAUCGAAAAAUUAUUCCAAAUUGUAGAAGAUAUUAAUCGUGUUAGGCGGAAAUCGGAUUCAAUGGCCUUGGAAACAAAGAGGCUAAGUGGCUUUCUAGUUUAAAACCUAUUAUGCUCUCUAUGUGACCCUUGAAAAGGUAAUGAUAAAGUCAACACAUAUAAUUAAUUGAACAAUGCAAAGUAAGCAACGAUAUCUUCUGACGGAGCUUGGCUGUGGAGAACGAGGUUAAGCGAUGCUUGUCUCUAUCACUUGGGGACGUGAGACGGUUAGCGUAUGUGGGACUUCCCUUUCGUCCCUCGAUCUCUCCUAUUAUCUCUUACCACGCAUCUAGCCGCAGAAUCUUAGACACAGACGGUAGGCUCGUUUAAUUCUAGUUUUUCAUGUGGUGGACAUUGAGGCCAGGAAUGCGGUUCCUUCCGUGUCGUGGUAUCUAUUAAAAGUUCACCAUAUAGAGGAAGAAAAUACGUUUUGAAAAGCUCACUCUUCUAUGAGCGGAGAUACGAGAUCAUUUGUUCGGAUUAUCUGAAAUUUUACUUUCUUUCAUAUUUGAGCACAAUUUCUUCAGCCACGAGAUAAAAGACCUUUUUGGGCUUAUCUUCUAUAUGUUUACUGACGUGGAAAGUUUCUCUCGUACUAUGUAAACUAUUGUCUCCUAUUGAUCGUUGUGUACCUGAUUCUUUAUUUCUCCUUCACUGAGCUUUCAACUCGCGGAUAUUUGCUGCACAAGAGAAGUUCCAUUUCUGAAUCACCUUGCUCUGAUACGCGUAACUCUCGCACAUAUUUUUUGCCGCCAGCACAGCAUCUGGAGAUGCUAACACGUUCAUAAAAUUUCUCAAAUGCAUCGGGGACCAUUGAAAUCCAAAUAAUUAUUGGCUGAAAGAGACGUCAACAACGUGUCAAAGUACUGGCCUCCUAACAUGGGAGGAACGAUAGCAGAAGCGGCCUUAUCUCUCUUCCAUGCCAUUGCUAACAAGGAAACGCCAGAUUUGUGUGACGAUUCAGGCCGGCACGUCACUUUCGCUCUUGCAAGUGGUCAACCGGGAACAAGCCCAUAAGGAGUCAUUUUUCGCCAGAGCAGCCACCAAAUCGCACCCCAACAAUGGCAGCGUGGGCGCCCUCGUUGUCUUCAGCCCUGUUGUGCCUUCUUUUGUUCUCCUACGACGGUCUGGUCAUUGGGCGGGACAGCAGCUUCGCAGCUGUUCGACUUGCGAGCUUGGUGCCUUCCCCUAAUUGCUCUCAGAUCAAAGGUUUACUCCCUCAACCAACUUUUGUGGGACUCGGAACUUUAUCCUAAUUCUCGAGAUUCCUUGGUUGAGUGAUAAUUUUUCUAGCCCAAUUUGCCCUCUUACAUCGGGAUGUACAUAAAACUCUUAUGUCAUAGAAACAUUUCGAUAAACUUAUUUAAUCAAUGAGUAUUCGUCUGAUCUCUCAUUCUGUUGCAGUCCGCAGCCACAGCACUAGGCAGAUAGUCCAUCGUUACGGUCCCUGCGCAGCCAAGUCUGUUAGCAAACCCAGCCACCUUCAAGCUCUCGCCCAGGAUUUCCUGCGAGUCGUUUCAUUGCAGGAAAUAGUUUCUGGCGUCUACCAUGGAAACGAUACAUUUCUUGGAAGCCAAAUCUCCAUCCCGGCGAGGAGUGGCCUGUACCUCGGCACCGGCAAUUACGUCAUUACUGUCGGUUUUGGCACCCCGACGAGGAAUCAGACAGUCGUUUUCGAUACCGGCAGCAGCGUGAACUGGAUCCAGUGUAAGCCGUGCACUAUAAGCUGCUACCCGCAGCAGGAACCGUUGUUUGAUCCUGACGUCUCGUCUACCUAUCGUAAUGUGACCUGCUUGGCUCCCGCAUGCCUCGGACUUAGCAGAAGCGGUUGCUCGGGUACUACCUGCCUAUAUGAGGUGACAUACGGUGACGGAUCCUCAACCGUCGGAUUUCUCGCCACGGAUACUUUCACGCUGACGUCCACCAACGUGUUCAACAACUUCCUGUUUGGGUGCGGCGAAAAAAACCUGGGGCUGUUUGAGGGGGCCGCCGGGCUGAUCGGGCUCGGACGCAGCCCCUUCUCGGUUAAUUCACAGCUGGCCAGCAGCCUCGGCGAUACCUUCUCCUACUGUCUCCCUUCCACAAGCAGCUCCACCGGCUACCUCAACAUCGGCAAUCCGUUAACAACUACCGUUGGGUACACGCCGAUUCUUACAGAUUCACGCGCGCCGACCCUCUACUUCAUUGACCUUAUUGGAAUUACCGUAGGGGGGAUACGGCUUCCAUUGUUGCCGACCGUCUUUCAAUCAGUCGGGACAAUCAUAGACUCGGGGACGGUGAUCACACGCCUACCCCCAUCGGCGUACAGCGCACUUCGGACAGCCUUCCGCGCCGCCAUGACGCAGUACCCACUAGCUCCUGCGGCAAGUAUACUUGACACUUGUUAUGACUUCCGUAACGCGGCGACUGUGACAUAUCCGGUGAUCAGACUACUGUACACUGGUCUCGAGGUCACUCUCCCGGCUACAGGGGUGUUUUACGUCAUCAACUCCGGGCAGGUCUGCCUGGCGUUUGCUGGGAAUUCGGACUUUACCCAGAUCGGCAUCAUCGGCAACGCUCAGCAAAGAACGUUUGAGGUGACGCAUGACAACAUUGCAAAAAGGAUCGGGUUCUCCGCUGGGGCAUGCGGCUAAUUGACUCAGAGGAAAUUUGAGUGUCUUCAGGUCGGGAAUUAACUCGACGUCAGUUCCUUUUGUUUAUUUGAACUUAUGUUAAUUGACUCAUAAUUUUUACACUUUUCCUUCUGCAUGUUGUAAUUAUUUCAAAAUGAUUUUCUGCAGUAGAUAAUUCUGUUUCAUGGUAUGUUCAUGGAUUGACAACAUUUUGUUUAGCAAGUCAAUGUGAUCUUCUUGAAGAAAUAUGCUCCAGGCUGAAGAGAAAGUGGGGAUGGUGGACUGGCAUGAAAGGAAUUAAUGUUGUAGUUGUAUCUGCUGGCAUAUGAUUCCGUGAAGAAAUGGUAGCAGCUCUAUCGGUGGGGGACGAUGGAAGAAAUAAGGAGCAUACAUUGGUGAAUUACUUUUUAAGAAGAUAAUUUGACCUCUUGCUUAAUUUGUUUUGACUGAAAAAAUGUUAUUGACUUUCCCAUCUGUUAUGGUUCAAUAUGAGUAAGGACUGAAUUGGCCUUUAGUCAUACUCAACUUAUUAAUCAUCACAUGGCACAUUUGGCUAACAUCAAAGCUGGUGGAUGAUUUAAGAUUAAUAAUUGAUAGCCCUACAUGAUGCAAUUUAGGAUAAUCAAAGAUAAAAUUUUUAUUACUAAUUUAUAAUCAACUUAUAGACAUGUAUAGGGUAGAAUUCAAGUUGAUCUAGGAUGACGAGGUCAUCCACAAGAGAAUAAAUUAAAGAAAAAUCAAGUUAAUGAUUAAAAAAUUAUCAAUCAGAAUAAUAUCAAUGGGAAGAAUAGGUGAAAUGUGAUUUGAUUUUUUUUUAAUUCUAAAGUACAAGGAAAAUUAAUACUUAUUUUUGUUGAUGUCCUUGGGCAUAGAUUUCGAUAUUACAAAAUAUAUGAGAAAAUAUAUAAUUCAUGAUUGACAUAAUUCACAUUAAGUGAAAUGAUGAAGAGGUGAUGUGCCACACAUGGAUAAAUAUUUUUUAGAAAAUAAAUAUUUAAUAGGUAAAUGAUGGUUAUGUUUUUAAUUCAUAUAUCUAUGUUUAUUUAACCAGUUAAGUGCAACUAUUAUUUAUUAGUCAUAUAAAUCAUUAAAAGAAAAAGAAAAAGGUUCAAAAUAUCAAAUGAACUCUCAUGAGUCUCGAAUUAAAAAUCUAGAUGAUGACACGUCAAUUACUUAUGUGUAGAAAAUGACAACUUAAUACUCGAAUUUGAAGACAAAGUUAACAAAACAGUUGUUCGUCUAAGAAAGAAAAAUCUUCAGUUUGAAUUUCAAAUUGAAUGAACUAGAGAAUAGAAAGAUAUUGAAUUUGUAAUGGUCAAAGAUCGUUGCUAUGUGUUCUAGAAAAUAGUAAGUAUUCAAAUUAACCUUUUAACUUUGUCUCUCGAGCAAAUCAUUAAAAUUUGUUAGAGGACGAUGCCCUACAAGUGUAGGAAGUAAAGGAGAUCAAAAACAAUGAUUCAACUUUGAUCUACAAUGAGCUAUCUCUCUCACAAUCAAGAUUCAUCACUGUUGAGCAUCAACUAUGAGCAGACUACAUCAUACUUCUUAUCAACGAUUAAUGAUUAAGAAAAAUUUUGAAUCUUUUUAUAAUACUCUUCAUUAAGCUUAAGGUAAUUGCGUGGUGAGUGAAGAGUGAGUUUGGGUAAAGGCACGAGUUGCUCUAAACCUUGUUUAGCCUAAAAGGGGCUAGAUCUCUACGGAGGUCGAACUUGAGGUGUUGGGCAACUAAUCCUAUUAAAAUUAGUGUGUAUUUCUGAGAGAAAUAGUGAAAUAUCGAUAGGAAAGAUCUUCUGAGACUAGAAGUAAUUAGGUGAGGGGUGAACCAGCAUAAAAAGCUCUUGUUUCAUAGUGAGACUCUACUAGAAGAGAGAGAAAGUCAUUUUGCAUGUAAAUAAUUAUAUAGAAUUGUGUUAACCUGUGUGUUGACACAUCCAGCAUUUGGGAAGAAAAUGUGAGAUUUUUAAAAUACUAAUUCACCCCCCCUCUUUUCGAGGAGGCUCUCUAUCAGGUCCUAAGGUAAUUAAGUGGUGAAUAGAGAGUGAAUUUGGGCAAAGACAUGAGGUGCUCUAAGCCUUGUUUGGCUCGGAAGAGGUUGGAUCUCUAUGGAGGUUGAACCUAAGGUAUUGGGCAGCUGAUCCCAUUAAAAUCAGUAUGUAUUUUCGAAGAAAAUAGUGAAAUACUAGUAGAACAGAUCUUUUAUGAUUGGAAGUAACUAGUUGAGGGACGAAAUAGUACAAAAAGCUCUUGUUUCAUAGUGAGAUCCUGCCGUAAGUAAGAGAAAGUCAUUUUGCAUGGAGAUAAUUGUAUAUAGCUGUGUUGACACAUCUAGCAUCCGAAAAGAAAAUAUGAGAUUUUGAAAAUAUCAAUUCACCCCCCCUCUUUGUAUUUUGUCUAGCCUCUAAAUCUUUCAAUUCUAUCACAUCAAUCAUAAAAUCUAAUUUUCCUUGAGAAUGUGGCCGAUCUAAGUGUCUUAGAGAUCAAGCAUACAUCAAGGGAAUUAAUGUUGAGGGAAUGAAUAUAAAACCUAUCCUAAAGAACUCUAAACAUGGAUGCUAAAAAUCUUAAAUCCUAUUUUUCCAAUCUACUUAUCUCUUAGAUAAGUCUAUGUCACUUAUAUGGUCAAUAAGAAAAAAAGAUAUACUAAAAAGAGAAGGAACUAAGAAGUAUGAAUUUAAAUGAAUAAACUAAAAAAAUUAUAAAAGAACAUAAAAUAAAAAAUAAAAAUGCCUUCUCUAUGUCCAUUAGAGUACUUCAACUGGAUCUACCCAUUGAAGUUCUUAGAUUGGUCCAUUUGGUGAAGUUUUUGAAGUCUUCCUCUUCUCCUUAUGUGAAUGUCCCUCUCCUUUGUAGGUGGAUUCCAUGCUCAUGAAAUUUUUCCCCUUUUAAGGACUCCUUAAGCUGAAAAUUAAUCUUAGUCCUUAAUGGUCUUGGAGGUAUUAUGGGGCCUUGGAUCUUGGGGUGAUCGGCCGCUGCCUUAAGUCAGUCCCCUACUUCUUUUAGGGCAACAUCAUUAGGGAGGAUCCUAGCCCUUCAUUUGGAUGGUUGGGAUCCUCUCUUUACCCCUCUUUUAGAGGGAAAGGGCAUGCCCAAGGGAAGGUUACACUUGCCCUCCUUUAUUAUAGGGAAGGUUGUUGGACAAUUUCUACUGAGUCCUUGGCCAUUAUCAACAUACAAUUGAAUUCAGUAAUGAACCUCCUAUAGAUUAUAUGAAUGCCAAUUAACUAUGAUCCACUGAAUCUAGUGAAUGAAACCUCAAUCUCACUCUCUAAUGAAUUUUAAGGAAGAUAUAUAUGUUGUAUUAAUUAUUAGUUGGUUGAGAGUUCAUAAAAUGAUGGGAAUUUCGUAUAUGAACAUUUCGUAUAUGACCUGGCCCAUGGGACGAACCAACCCUGAGUUAUCUUUUUUUUUCUCUAUUCAGGAUUCCCUUGGGAUUGGCCCAUCACAUCGAUAGGGGUUCCCUGAGUUGGAGAGCGGACCCUCAUACACUUUAUGUUCGAUAACAAAAGAAUAGGUCCGGUAAAAGGCUUCGUAGUGGACUGCGAAUACUUAUUUUCUACAGUGGCAACUGCGGAAAUCAAUGGAUUUUUGAAGAAAACUGUACUGUGGAAUACCAGUAGCGUGUUAAUUGAAGAACUUUAAUUGAGGUAUGUCCCUCAAGAAAUUAAUAUUCAUAUAUAUAUAUAUAUAUGUAUGGAAGGUCGAACUGAAGUGGAAAGAUAAGCAAUAAGUCAAUAAUGAGAGCUCUGCAUGAGUGUUUGAGUUGUGGACAUUGAUCUCCUAUUGGGUCCUAUUGGGCUUCAUGAGUAUACUAAUCCGAUUCCUCAGUGAGUUUUUUCCCUAAUCGUGUGAUAAUCUUGGGAUGUCAGAGGGUCAGAGGGUCUGUUGUUGGAUGAGUGUUGUAGGAGACAAAUCUCCUGGAAUGAAGAAGAUCUGUAAUGUACUACGGACGUAGGAGGUUCUUUAAGACUACGUAAACCCGGUGUGUUCCAUGUUUCUUUCAGUCGCUCCCUCUCCCUUUCUCAUGAUGUUGUUGGGGAUCAAAGAUGUAGGGCAGUGUGUCGUCGUCAAGGAGAAGUUAUAAACUCUUGUGUAGCCUUCAAAAUAAUUAGGGAGGGAAGAAGUUAAGUUUUGAGGUUUACCUCAAUUAUUCCGCAAGGAGAGGUCGUAAGGGUCACUUAUCCAUUGCCACCCCGACACGCCACUGCCUCCUUCCGUUCACCAGUCGUCCACCACCGUCAUCCUCCAUUGUUGCGGCCUUCGUCUGCCACCGCCUUUCACACAGUCACCGUCUUCAGCCACCGUCGGCCGUCAGUAUCUACUGUUCGUCCGCCACCCAUUAUCGCCAUCGUCAUCACCGGUCGCUGCCACCACCAUCUGCCAUCAUCGUCCGCCGCAGCUGCCACCAUCACUGCCUCCGCCUCUGCCGUCCGCUGCCACCUUCUGCCCUAUUGCUGCCGCUAUCAACUAUCAUCACAAUCCGCUGCUACUGCCACCAUCCUUGCUUCUAUCUCCAUCCGUUUUGCCCUCUUCCCAUUCCGCCGCAUUUGCUGCCUUGCUUUCUCCAUCCCCACAACCCAUUAAUUUCCUCCCACCAGUUACCAUUUAAAGCCUCAGUUCAUGGUAUCACGAACCACUAGAGUGAACCAGUCUGGUUCAGCCCAGCCACAAUGCCGACAUCUGUCCAGCCUAAACCGGCUAGAGCCCUUGGCUGACCAACCUGUUCUGCUAGUGCCAACCAUUUUGACAGCCUGGUCCACACCAGUCAUUCAUUUAGUUUAUCUGGUCAACGGUCAAUGGUCUACGGUCAACAUUAACUCAACUAUUCUCAACUGGGUUCUAGCUUUAACCCAUGUUUCUCGACCACUAAGUUAUUUAUUCUGGUGACAAAAUUAUCUCCAAACCCCUUUUAUCUAUAUAUUAGACUAUUUUUUCAUUGAUUUUAUCUUAAAAUAUUGUCGUUGUAUGAUCCAUAGAUAUGUUCACUCAUUGUCAAAGUUGGUGGUUAGUGAAGGGUGACAACCCAUUUGAUUUGUAUCUUAUCAACUUAUUAAUUGUGGAGAACCUUAAUCAUUUAUAACUUAUCAAUUGGGAAGAUCUAUUUGUUUGAGAAUCUUGUAUGAUUAGACUAGUCUUAUCAUAGCCAACCUUGUAAUAUUUUUAAACUCAUUGUUCGAGUCAAGUAUAGGCACUUGUCUAAAGUAAUAUUUUCACUUCAUCAUCUCGUCUUGCAUUAGAUGUGUUAUGCAUCAGAUUUGUAUUGUGUAGGAAGGGAGAAACAAGGUCACUAAGACCCCUAACACUAAGCACAACGUUGGAAUGGUGGCCUCACUCUUACUUUUCUCCUCCACUCAGUUGUGCUACUUUCGUACCCCUUCCACUGUUGAUACUACGGUGGGCACAAAACUGUUUAGAUUUUUGAACUAGAAACAUUUUUCAACUGGAAAAUAUUUUUGGAUUAGAAAACUGUAGACAAAUUUUAAUACCUAAUUUCAGCAGUAUAAAUGUCUUAAAUCGUUUGAUUUCUAAAUGCAUCCCAAUAAGUUGCUUGGAUGGCACGUCUCAAUGACACUUGCUAUCACAGUUAGCUACGAUCGAUGCCAGGAGAAGCCCACACUAUGAACGACAGCCCACUUGGGGCUUCACAUUCUGGUCCAGCUGGAACAAGUGACAGCUCUUUUUCAAGCCUGCUUUCCAAGCCGUCGAUUAUGGCCUGAAUCCAUAGUGUCGCACACAGUUUGAUGCAUCAAUAAGAAUUCUCCACUUUUCCCAUUCUACAUAUGUCACGACUGGAUUCAGUUGUAAGCAGUAUUUUUGAACGCAUGCUUUUCUCGAUAUGAUUUAUGCAAAUAGUCUAUAAUGAUGCAAAUAUGUAGAAUACUUUUCAUUUGACGAUCAAGAAAAUAUUUAUAGGUAUAUGAAUGUCAACUACUUAGGUAGGCCGGCGAUUCAACCAUGGUAUUAAUCGUUACUUGAAUUUUUAAUUUAAAAUUCAAGACUAGAGACAAAAGUAUAUCAGCAUUUUCUUUGUUUCAGUGGCUGUUCCCCAGAGACAUGUCGAAAGAGGUAGUUUGUGGGAGUAUUAAUGGUUGGGAUUGGCAGAGCUGUUCUCCUCCUAAACUUCCGUAGCUGACCAUGACGUUAGUAUGAGGCUAAUUUACUUGAAGUUCAGUAGAAAAUUUCUGUAAAAGACCAUUUUUAUUGUAAUUACACCAAUUAACUGAGAAGCUGCCAAUGAGGGUCAGUUGAAAACGUUCAGUGAUAUUAGCAGACUUGCUUUGAUUGUCUCUUUUUGAUAUCCAAACAGACAACGAGAACAGGAACCAUUUUGAUGGAUAGCAUCGACAGCAUAGCCUAUCAUGUAACCUGAAGACUGCAGAGAUAGGUGAAAACGAUGACUCAGAGAAAGAGAGAGAAAGAAAGAAGGGUAAUGGUCGCUCCUGGCGAUAGAGUGAGAAAACGGCGCGCGGGUUAGAUAAAAGGGCGGAAGACUUUUCAGAAGCGUUGCUGGGGAUGGCUUUGGACCAAUGGUAGCUCAUUAACAGUACGGAAAGAGGUGAACUUUGGCAAGCAAGAGGGUCAACCAAUCCUGGCGGGAGCACUCAAAGAACACCAGUGUACGCGUCAGUGUGAUUCGCUUCAACACGUAUCUCAAAUUUUGGCCAGUCAUGGCACUGCAGCUACACCGGCGUGAUUCGCUUCCUUAUUUACUGUUACUAAAUGAAUGAAUCAUAAAUCUAAAUAUGAGAUCUAAUAGUCCUGUGUUGUUGUUUGUCACUUUAACAGAAAAUUUCCAUUCAAGAGCUAUUUCCAUCACUAAAGACAUUUCUCUGAAAAGAAAGGAACUGUUUUACUCUGUUCUCGAUAUGAUCCAAGGGACUUGAUUGGCUGGUUUGAUAACUAAAGUUUUCAGGGUUCUGGCACAAUGCCUGGGACUCUGGACUUUUCUCGACGUGGGUAGUGAAUUACAGAAGAGGUCUAGUCUUGGUUUUGCUUGAUUAAGCCUGCACGGAUCUUAGCGCAUUCGAACCCCACGAUUACGCUUGUGGGGGAAGGAUAAAAACAAAUUAUCAACCAGAUGUAUAGGAUCUCUGCGUUCAGAUAUUCCUAUCUUGACGUUCCAAACGUUUUUACGAGAAUAUUGUUAACUCUAAAUAAGGUAGAACCAUUUAUUCGUCCGGAUUUGAAAAUAAUUCCAUAUCAUUGUUCCAAGAAUUUUCCGCACAUCCACUGAUUUGACCGCAUUUCUCUAUCCUCGGUACAAGACGGAAGGUUCGCAUUUAAUUAUUUUGGGCCCAGAAUGGCUUAUUUGCGCCGCGUUUGCACCGGCAUAAUAACUUAACAUCGCUAACGCGAAGUAGACUUCGAAGUCCAAAAAAUAUGCAUUGAGAAUGGCUUGCGCAAGGUAGUCCGGAGGUACCGUUGCCCGAGACGAAACAAGUCAGAGAUGCCCUUUCAGAACUGAGGCCGAAGGAUUUGAUUGUGCCUUUUAUCCAAAUCGGAACAAGUUAAUGCGAUGGCGUCCUCCUAGAGGAGUUCGAUCUGUACCUCGAAUCCUCCGCCCAACAGCGGCUCCUACUGUUCUCCAAGGGACUCCCAAUGGGAACAUGUUGAUGCCGCCGGACACUCCUUCCCACCCGAAAGAUUCCGAGCUAAACCAGAUUUUAUUGAUCUCGCUGGCAAAUAGAGAAAUAGGAAGAGGGAGAAAGCCUGAAAGUGACAGAGGGAGGGAGAUACAUGUAUAUAUAUAUUUAUAUAUAUAUAUAUAUAGAUAGAUAUAUAUAUAUAUAUAUAUCGAGAGAGAGAGAGAGAGAGAGAGGNNNNNNNNNNNNNNNNNNNNNNNNNNNNNNNNNNNNNNNNNNNNNNNNNNNNNNNNNNNNNNNNNNNNNNNNNNNNNNNNNNNNNNNNNNNNNNNNNNNNNNNNNNNNNNNNNNNNNNNNNNNNNNNNNNNNNNNNNNNNNNNNNNNNNNNNNNNNNNNNNNNNNNNNNNNNNNNNNNNNNNNNNNNNNNNNNNNNNNNNNNNNNNNNNNNNNNNNNNNNNNNNNNNNNNNNNNNNNNNNNNNNNNNNNNNNNNNNNNNNNNNNNNNNNNNNNNNNNNNNNNNNNNNNNNNNNNNNNNUAUAUAUAUAUAUAUAUAUAUAUAUAUAUAUAUAUAUAUAUAUAUAUAUAUAUAUAUAGAGAGAGAGAGAGAGAGAGAGAGAGAGGGGGGGUAAGACCGCCGGAGAGAUAGAAAGGAGAGCGACAGAAGAGAGAUACAUAUUUAUAUAAACAUACAGAAAGAGAGAGGAGCAACGUUCCUGCCCGACGGACGACUACUUUUGCCGACAUAAGAGAUGAGUGGAUGGCGGUUCAAAGAGAGGGCGAGGGAGGUAGAAAGAGACGGGUUAACAAUGUACAAAUUAUGUUUUUUUAACCGUUUUAGUUUUGAAUAGAUGCAAAUCCGAGACAACGGCCUAGGUGACGAGGCCCUACGAAGAUUCGCGGAUGUAAACGAUUUGAAAUAUCAUAAUGAUGAAACAAACUUAUUUAAAUAGUCAGAUAACCGGAAGAAACAAGCUUCUCCGAAGAGACUUAAUCAUGGAUCGUAAAUAUCUUAGUAUUUAUCUCGUAGUGCAUUUUUCUAAUGAUUCUCCAGUGCUCCACACAAACCUAAUGAACGUACUUUGACAAAUUCCUCUGUCAUCUCUCUUUCGCAUGAUUGCCUACUCUUCUCCCUUGUUAGAACAAAGAUUUGACUCUACCGCGCUUAUUUGCACCAUUUUUCAUAAUAUUCCGCGACGGAUGCGAAUCAUGAUCACCAAUUUAGAUGAGACCUGUCAUUUUCCUCGAGGAAUAUGGGAAUCGAAGCAAUUAUGAAUUGAGGUAGACAUGAACAGAUCAUCGACCCAGUGGCUGAACAACUGGGCUUAUCCAUUGAAUAUGCCUUUAAUGCCGUAGAAGACCAGAGUUAUUGGAGGGCUCACGGUGAAACACCAGUUCUUUCAUUGGUGGAAGUUCAAUGGGAAAAGCUUAUAAAUAGUAUUUCCUCCCUCAGAGUCUACGCCAAGCCGUAGCACAACGAUGGUAUCACGAUCGUACCUCGUCUUUGCCCCCCUGUUAUGCCUGCUUUUGUUCCCUUUGGGCGGGUACGCCCUUGUGGGCAGCCUCAGUUUUGGAAAAGUUCGUAUAGGGAGCUUGGUACCCUCCCCCGGUUGCUCUGCCUCUAAAGGUUAUUUCCCGCUAUCGGAUUUUGCAGAUGCUCACUGAACUUUCCUUAAGCUAUUGGAUCACCUUUAUCCAAUAUUAUUUUUACUGGUUAAUUUCUAUUUCCGCUAAUUAUAUAUAAAUUCACGACUCUAGACUUUGCAUCUAUUGCAGCCCGCAGCAGCAGUUCUCUCAAAAUAGUGAACCGCUUCGGUGCGUGCUCAAGCAAGUCCUUCAGCAAGCAAAACCUCAUUAGUGCACUUGCCCAUGACUCCCUUCGAGUCGAUUCGAUCCAGGCAGCCGUUGCGGGAGUCCCUCUUGUCAAUGAUUCAAUACUGCUUGGGUCACAGGUCUCUAUCCCGGCAAAGAGUGGCCUCUAUAUUGGCACGGGUAACUACGUCAUCACUGUUGGCUUCGGCACUCCAACGAGAAACCAGACAGUCAUCUUCGAUACCGGCAGCAACGUGAACUGGAUCCAGUGCAAGCCUUGCGUGGUAAGCUGCUACCCGCAGCAGGAGCCGUUAUUUGAUCCCGCCCUCUCGUCUACCUAUCGUAAUAUCACCUGCACGGCUCCCGCGUGCCUCGGACUUAGCAGCAGAGGUUGCUCGGGCACCACCUGCGUCUAUGGGGUGACCUACGGCGACGGAUCCUCUACCGUCGGCUUCCUCGCCACGGAUAGCUUCACGCUGACAUCCACCAACGUGUUCAACAACUUCAUAUUUGGGUGCGGCCAGAACAACAAGGGGCUGUUCCGGGGGGCCGCCGGGUUGAUCGGGCUCGGACGCAGCCCCUACUCGCUGAAUUCUCAGGCGGCCAGCAGGCUGGGCAAUAUCUUCUCCUACUGUCUCCCUUCCACAAGCAGCUCCACCGGCUAC
RNAcentral lists this long non-coding RNA (25283 nucleotides) under Spirodela polyrhiza (greater duckweed). RNAcentral's name for it is "long non-coding RNA (SPOL_LNC000636)". Lineage: Eukaryota; Viridiplantae; Streptophyta; Magnoliopsida; Alismatales; Araceae. The record is from RNAcentral.